AGGCCAGUAGCUCAGUUGGACAGAGCGACAGAUUCCUAAUCUGUAGGUCGCGGGUUCGACCCCCGCCUGGCCUACCA
RNAcentral lists this transfer RNA (77 nucleotides) under Kiritimatiellia bacterium. RNAcentral describes it as "Kiritimatiellae bacterium (gut metagenome) tRNA-Arg". It matches the Rfam family "tRNA". From Rfam's summary of the family: Transfer RNA (tRNA) molecules are approximately 80 nucleotides in length. Lineage: Bacteria; Pseudomonadati; Kiritimatiellota; Kiritimatiellia. The record is from RNAcentral.